RNA transcript from Mus musculus (house mouse), 5909 nucleotides. It is a transcript of the gene named protein phosphatase 1K (PP2C domain containing), with no coding region annotated. The record is from RefSeq and is marked validated. Lineage: Eukaryota; Metazoa; Chordata; Mammalia; Rodentia; Muridae. The transcript is spliced from 8 exons.
ACUCCUCCGGGUCUCCAUUUGGCCAGCUGCGGUUGAUUUUUUUUUAUUUUCCGAGAAUUUCCAGGAGUGGAAGAGACUGUGGCUUCCCUAAUUGCUUGUUCUGGAGAUCAUAAUCAACAGAGAAGUCAGUCUAGUUUAUCAUCCAAGAAAUCCUUCCCUUCCUUCCAUUAGCCAAUUAAGAAAUUUACAGACACCUACCCAUCACAAGGUACAUCAUUUUUCUGCACGGAAUACUAUUAUUGCUCUAUUUGUCUUUUCCUGUGACUGGGGCCUUUGGCAUUGCAUUAUGUUAUCAGCGGCCUUCAUUACUUUGUUGAGAAGUGGUGGGAAUCAGGUGAAGAAGAGAGUGUUGUUAAGCUCCAUCCUCCUGCAGGACCACAGGCAGGCGACUCCUGCCUGCUACUUCUCCACUUCAGAGGCCAGGUGUUCUCGGUUUGAUCCAGAUGGAAGUGGGCAGCCAGCCACUUGGGACAAUUUUGGGAUCUGGGAUAACCGCAUUGAUGAGCCAAUUCUGCUGCCACCUAGCAUCAAGUACGGCAAACCAAUUCCCAAAAUUAGCCUGGAGAACGUGGGCUGUGCCUCUCUCAUUGGCAAACGGAAAGAAAACGAAGAUCGAUUUGGGUUUGCACAGCUGACAGAAGAGGUGCUAUACUUCGCAGUCUAUGAUGGACAUGGGGGCCCUGCAGCCGCUGACUUCUGUCACACACACAUGGAGAAAUGUGUUAUGGAUUUGCUUCCUCGGGAGAAAGACUUGGAAACUGUCCUGACCUUGGCCUUUCUAGAAAUAGAUAAAGCCUUCGCGAGUUAUGCCCACCUGUCUGCAGAUGCUCUUUCUCUGCUUCCCCCUGUGUUGCAGGUUUGUUGUGUCUGAGCACAAUUUCUGGGUGAAAUUCCUGUUUGCCUCUGUGCGGGUUGUUUGUGGCAGAGAACUGUGCCUGCUCAGCUGCUCUAGACCUGGAGCCUGUGGACGCUCUAUGCCGGGCUUCAGUGGAAAAGAGAUCUGCUUAAUUUUGUCUCAGGUGAAGGAGUCCAGCAGUUCCUAGUCUGAACUACUGGAAGGGUCCCGCAUCCUCUUUGUGCCAUUAGUUGAGAUGACUUGCAGAAGAAAUUAUCCACAAGCCUCCUGACCUCUGGGACUACUGCAACAGUAGCCCUGUUGAGAGAUGGUGUUGAACUGGUGGUAGCCAGUGUUGGAGACAGCCGGGCUCUUUUGUGUAGAAAAGGAAAACCCAUGAAGCUGACCACUGACCAUACCCCAGAAAGAAAAGAUGAGAAAGAAAGGAUCAAGAAAUUCGGUGGGUUUGUAGCUUGGAAUAGUUUGGGACAGCCCCAUGUAAAUGGCAGACUUGCAAUGACAAGGAGUAUCGGAGAUUUGGAUCUUAAAGCCAGUGGGGUAAUUGCAGAACCUGAGACAACAAGGAUUAAGCUCUACCAUGCUGACGACAGUUUCCUGGUCCUUACCACAGAUGGGAUUAACUUCAUGGUGAAUAGUCAAGAGAUCUGCGACUUUGUCAACCAGUGCCACGAUCCUAAAGAAGCAGCUCAUUCGGUGACUGAGCAGGCAAUACAGUACGGUACCGAAGACAACAGCACUGCAGUAGUGGUGCCCUUUGGUGCUUGGGGAAAAUACAAGAACUCUGAAAUUACCUUCUCAUUCAGCAGAAGCUUUGCCUCCAGUGGGAGAUGGGCCUGAUCGACAGCUCAGACUCGGAGUUCCUAUGCAGCAGUGUCAGUGGGCUUAUCAAGAAACUGGUAACACACAGAAGGCCACCUGUACCCGUGUGUCAUUGUGACUGAUCGAUCCUAACAGUAUAAGCUUACCAGCCACAUACCCAGUAGUAUUUUCAUAAAUCCUCAUCAUCAUUAUGGUCAACUGCACAUGCUCAGUGUAAGCAUCAUAACACAGCUGUGAAGCCGCUGUGCAUCUCUGAGCUGAAUGGGAGAAGAAGCGGUUUUGGUCCAUUUGAUGAGUGAUGAAUCUGUGUUUCCUUUGUAAGGCUAGAGAUUGAAUCUGGGGCUUUCUAAGUUUUUAAGACUAAGAGGCAGAUUUAGUUUCUUUUUAGUAAGUUUGUUCUUUAUUCAGUUGGACAGGUAUUUUUUUUUUUGAAUUUUGAUAGCUGGUCAAUGUGUUAUUUGCAAGUGUUCCUUUUUCCUUUCUCUGUAGAAAGCAGGUUUUCACUGGCUGACCUUGAACUCCUGGGUUCAAAUGGUCUUCCUAACGUCAGCUUCCUGAGUACCUUUUAAUUUUUUUUUUUUUAAAGCAGAACAAGCAUAUUUUUUCCCAAGAAGAGUGAGAACAUAUACCUAGGAGAUGGGGGCAUUCCAAGGGAGGGAUACAAGGGAUAUAAGAGAUAAAGGGAUACAAGGUACAUUUUAAUAAAUGUACCUAGGAGUUAUAAUAAAGCCUAGGUUCUCUAUGACUGAAUAGUGUACUCUGGAUCACUUAUUAGUAAAUUUAACCCUGCAAAAUACAUGGCUAAAGUGUAUACAUAUUUAUAAAUAGCUCUCUUGUGUAUUUUAAAUAUUUUUAGCACUUCCCCAUCCAUUUCUAUUUUUGUGGAGUUAAAUAUGCUAUAUAUUGGUAACUGUUCGGUAAGCUCCAGAGAAGAAUAUUCUGAGGCUUUGGUCAAAAUCUGUAAAGUGAAACACUGACAGUGCCAAUCUUGUGUAAGUUUGUUGCUGUGUGGUUUGUAUGUAGCGUUUUUAUACCACUUUCUGUGCACACAGUAAGCGAGUUGGGGCCUUUGUUAGUAAAGAUAAUAUUACAAUGACUUAUACUGCUAUAGACAUAGCUUGGGGUUUAUGUCUCCAAUUUCCUCAUUUCUAAGAUUCAUGCGGAAAAAAAAAUCUUUUACAAAGGAUAUUCAAACAUGUCAGCUUGCUAUGUAAAUUAGGGGUGUAAAACCACACUCCUUUUUACCUGCAUAUAAAAUUACUGUCAAACUGUGAAUCCCUGAAUGUGUGCUUGUAGUUAAUCUAUAUUUUCACAGGGUAAUUUAAAUUUAGUAUAUGUGCAGUGAGUGUAUAUAUGUAUAUUUUGAAGUAAUAUAAAAUUAAAGGGAACAAUCUUGUGGCGCAUUUAUCAGCUAGCUGUAAAUUAUUGAUAUAUUUAUCUCUAAGGACACUCAAUAACAUUGAGUGUCAAAUUCUCUGUAAUAAAGAUUCAGUUGUUACUGGUAGAUAACCACUAUGGAUUACAAAUAAAUAUGGGGGCCAGUAUUGGUGGCCUCUACCUAUAAUCUCAGGACUUAAGGAGGAGACAAGAGAAUCGGGAUGGUAACUUUGAAAUUAGCCUGAGCUACAGAGCAAGUUCCACGGUAGCCUGAGCCACAGCUUGUCUCCCCGAACAAAGUAUCAGCAACAAAUGGCUGUAAGAGACAUUUUAUUAGGUGUCACGUAUGUGGAUAACCAAAGAACAGAGGCAGACAUAUCGUUGUGUGGUAAUUCGAAUAUAAAGUUAUGGGAUAUGAGAAGAACAGGAAAUGUCAAAAGUGACUUGGAAUUUUAUGGCAGAAAACAAAGGAAAAAUAAUGAAAUAUAUAUACCUUCAAGUCUGACAUGUUUUCUGCCUUUAACUUUUGUUUAAAAUAUUUAGUAGAAAUAAAGAAUAAGUUCUCAAUAAAGAAUUUAAGGGGGCUGGUGAGAUGGCUCAGUGGUUAGGAGCACCCGACUGCUCUUCCGAAGGUCCAGAGUUCAAAUCCCAGCAACCACAUGGUGGCUCACAACCAUCCGUAACAAGAUCUGACUCCCUCUUCUGGUGUGUCUGAAGACAGCUACAGUGUACUUACAUAUAAUAAUAAAUAAAUCUUUAAAAACUAAAAUUAAAUUAAAUUAAAAAAAAAAGAAUUUAAGGUCUUUUCAUGGAUGUCAGUUGAAAGAAACAAUGCUUUUCCAGACAUGUUAGCUUACAUGUGCAGUUCCAACAUCUGGGGAGGCUGGGGCACAGUCAUCCUGAAUAGCAAGAGCCCAGGUCAAGGGACAAAAUACACGGAAGAGAGUAGAGGACGUGCUCACUGUCCGAGGAAGAAUGGGGAGACUAGCAGAGCUUAAAGGCCUUCUUGUUGAGUCUGGUGUUGAAAAGUUAUGAAAACAACGUGUUUGUUUGUUUGUUUGUUUGUUUUUUUGUUUGUUUUUUGGUUUUGGUGUUUUUUUUUUUUGGUGUUUUUUUUUUUUUUUUUUUUGGUUUUUCAAGACAGGGUUUCUCUGUGUAGCCCUGGCUGUCCUGGAACUCACUUUGUAGACCAGGCUGGCCUUGAACUCAGAAAUCUGCCUGCCUCUGCCUCCCAAGUACUGGAAUUAAAGGCAUGUGCCACCACAUCCUGGCUUGAAAACAACUUUUAAGAGUAUGGAGAACUUGUAAACUAAUAUGCACAACAAAAUUCUCAAACAUUAAAAAUGACAACGUGGUGUGUCUUAUUUGUUUCUGUUUUGUGUUCUUCACAUUGCUGGUCUCCCUCCCCCCUUUACUUUGAAACUAGGAUUGAGAAUGACCUUGUGAUGUUCAGAGGUUUGAGGGUCAUUCAUAGAUGAAGGCGAGUUCCAGACCUGACAAGGAGGAAUCUGUAGAUGAUGGCCUUGGGCGCAUUUGAGCCUGUUUCUUCUGGAAAAAGCUUUUGAUGGUGGCGGUGAGGUUAGGAGUGUGUAGGUGUGUGUUUAGACAGACUUGUUUUAACCUCCUGAGUGCUGAGAUUAUAGGCAUCUGCUUUCAUGCCUGAUUCUACCUGAAAGAAAUUUAAAGCCCAAAUUCAGUCACCCUUGAUUAAGCAUAAAAAGUGCUGCUCUCCAUAGGGACUGGGCUGCAUCCUUUCCUGUAGACUUUCUUAACACACAUUUGUUAAGAUCAAACCUGAUAAAACUACAUGUUAAUAUGAAAAAUACAUGUGUCUUUAUUUUCUAAGUUUUUGUAUUAAAAUGUAAUUUAAAGAGUAUAUUAUAAUCCUUUGUGAUAGUUUAUAAUCCUAAAUUCUUAAGUCUUUUGUCAAUUCAGAAGUAAAUGUGUCUUGCUUCCUGUCAGCUGUUCAUGUGUUAGGAUUCUUUGUGUCUCUUAGCUGCUUCAAAUCUAGGCUCUGGUCCUCAUCUGGGGUCAAAGGAUCCCUUAGGAGGGGUCAGUUUUGCUUCUGAUUGUUAUAUGACAUGAACUUUCCCAUAUUAUAUCAUUUAAUAAUUUUUAUUUUGAAGAGGUAAUAGCAUAUAAUCUAAAAUACAGAAAUUAUUUAAAAUUUGACUAUUAGUUAAUUUUCUAAGACUGGAUAUGGAAUUAAUCUCAUGGUAACAACAGGUUUUCAUGUUAUGAGAAUGUUUCAGGGUGGGACCUGGGGAGUUCAAGUUUGGAGUUAAAUAAACUCUAGCCAUGUGUUUGUGUUUUCCAUUACUGUGAGGGUUCCCCAUAUUCCUGUGCAUGUAAAACACAGGGCCAUAAGAUUUGGGCUGUUCCCUUACUUUCAAUUUCUUAGUUUUCAUUAUGAGAAUGGCUUAAGCAGGAAUAGCAAGUUGUGUUUAACAAGAUGAAGAAACCAAAUGUUGACUUGCCUGCUGCUUUUGGCAGCUGGAAUAAGACCAGUAGUUUCUGUGGCAGCUCACACUGAUUGUCUCAUGGUUGGAAUGGCCCAUGGUGUCACAGAAUUCUGGACUGUGGGAACUCAGAUGUGUCCCACCACUGAGAGCGAGUGACCUGUGGUUGGGUUCCAGUGCAAAAGUCACCACUGUGGUAUAACCUGAAUUAACUGAAUUUCUGCUGCAUUUCUCUUGUGACUAUUUCUUUCAUAAUUUGCCAAAGUACUACUUGGUAUAGUAUGUUUGUAGUGAGUUUGACUAUUGUUUUAAAUGAAUGUGCUAGAAUAACUGUGAACAAACUAAAAUUACCUGUUUCAAUGUUGAAAACAUCUUAAUAAAGUGCACAUUAUAAACUC